This 383-nucleotide ribosomal RNA is filed under the name Gonatodes hasemani. RNAcentral's name for it is "partial 12S ribosomal RNA". The stretch from base 46 to 383 matches the Rfam family "Bacterial small subunit ribosomal RNA", at positions 875 to 1388 of the family's 1533-position model. Lineage: Eukaryota; Metazoa; Chordata; Lepidosauria; Squamata; Sphaerodactylidae. The record is from RNAcentral.
UGCCCGGCCAUUAACCUAAACUACUCCCACACACAGUAUUCGCCAGAGAACUACAAGCAUAAGCCAAAAACUCCAAGGACUUGACGGUAUCCUAACACCCUAGAGGAGCCUGUCCCAUAAUCGACACCCCACGUUCAACCUCACCUUCCCUUGCCCCACAGCCUAUAUACCGCCGUCGUAAAGCCCACCUUAUGAAAGCACUCACGUGGACAAAAUAGCACCCCUAAUACGACAGGUCAAGGUGUAGCUCAUGAGAAGGGCGCCGAUGGGCUACAAUCUCUACCCCGAGCACUGUAAAAGGCAUGAAACAGCCUUCCAAAGACGGAUUUAGCAGUAAAUUUAACAAGGUCGUUAACUUGAAGCCCGCCCUAGGAUGCGUACAC